GUGAGAGAGCUUCUUCAGAAAAGCAAUCUGAAAUGCAUGCUGCGGAAAGGGAAUUAUUAGCUAAUAUUUCUGCUAGUAAAGAACUUGGUUGUAGUGGCACUGGAAAAUCAGAGAUACCUUCUGCAGAUAUUGGUCCUGAUAUGCCUGACACUAGGGUUAGUUCUAAGGAAAUUCAAGAAACUAUAUUGCCCCCUCCAAAGUCUACUAAGUCGGUCA
This 216-nucleotide unclassified non-coding RNA is filed under the name Hevea brasiliensis (rubber tree). Lineage: Eukaryota; Viridiplantae; Streptophyta; Magnoliopsida; Malpighiales; Euphorbiaceae. The record is from RNAcentral.